Molecule: long non-coding RNA, 908 nt
Organism: Spinacia oleracea (spinach)
Lineage: Eukaryota; Viridiplantae; Streptophyta; Magnoliopsida; Caryophyllales; Amaranthaceae
Exons: 2
Source: RefSeq, a predicted model, not a curated record
UUUUCCUUUACUCAAACAUACAGUAUGCUUUUCUAGAGUUUUUUCCCUUUAAAAAAAAUAACAAAUUAAAUUUGGAAUGCAAAAAUGCAAAAACAUACGGAAUGAAAAAUGCUCAUCUAGCUAUGAAUUGAAAUAGUGCACACAUCACUUACUUUCUUUCUCAUCUUAACUCAUCAGCAAAAUCAUUCAAACUCUAUCCGAUUUAACACAAAGUUGAAGUUUCAGAUCCAAUGCUACCAAUUAAUUAUGCCUAAAGUAUCUCAAAAUCAGAGAACAGGGACAUACCUUGCGAUUUGCCGGCGUUUUCCUCGCCACCACCGAAGCCGUUUUACCUCUCCUAGCCUUCACUCCCUUCGCCGCCGCUGCCGGAGCUUGUCCCGCCUUAGCUGCUCCUGGAUCUCCCAUACUCGUCGGCCGACCACUUUAACUCCCAUUCGCUUCUCUUCUAGCCGAAUUAUGGGUGGAGCGGAGGUGGAGCACCACGGGUAUCAUUGCCGGAAUUAUGGGUUGAGCGGAGGUGGAGCAGCACGGGUCAUCAUUGCGGGUCUGACAUUUCUCUUUUUUGCCGGAAUUCUAGGUUUAGCGUAGGCCCUUUUUUUGGAAUUCUAGGUUGAAGGUGGCCGGAAAUUUUUGCUGGAUUCUGGGUUGAAGGUGCCUGAAUCUGGUUGUUGGGUGUAUUUACCUCUACUGUAUUGAUGGAGGGAGUUGGAUUGAUGGGGUAAAAAAUGUAAAAAAGUAAAGGGGUAAAUAUAGAGAGGAGUAGUUGUGGAAUUUAAUAGGGCGAGUGAGUAUUUAUGGGGCGGAGUUUAGCGCUCCACCUUUUAAUAUUGUAAGACCAUGUGCAUCCUUGACCUUCGGUCAAGUGUCAAAUAAUAUAUAUCUCUCAUCCUUCUCCUUCUUCCACCUCA